RNAcentral lists this ribosomal RNA (450 nucleotides) under uncultured bacterium. Its description in RNAcentral is "partial 16S ribosomal RNA". It matches the Rfam family "Bacterial small subunit ribosomal RNA", at positions 338 to 795 of the family's 1533-position model. The record is from RNAcentral.
CCUACGGGGGGCUGCAGUGGGGAAUAUUGGACAAUGGGCGCAAGCCUGAUCCAGCAAUACCGCGUGUGUGAAGAAGGCCUGAGGGUUGUAAAGCACUUUUAAUCGGGAGGAAUAGCGGUCGGUUAAUACCCGGUCGUCUGACAUUACCGAUAGAAAAAGCACCGGCUAACUCCGUGCCAGCAGCCGCGGUAAUACGGAGGGUGCAUUAGUUAAUCGGAAGUACUGGGCGUAGGUUGGUCAAGUGCGGUUUGAAAGCCCCGGGCUUAACCUGGGAACGGCAUUUGAAACUGAUCGACUAGAGUUGGGUAGAGGGGAGUGGAAUUUCAGGUGUAGCGGUGAAAUGCGUAGAUAUCUGAAGGAACACCAGUGGCGAAGGCGGCUCCCUGGACCCAAACUGACGCUGAGGCACGAAAGCGUGGGUAGCAAACAGGAUUAGAUACCCUAGUAGUC